GAUGAAGAACGCAGCGAAAUGCGAUAAGUAAUGCGAAUUGCAGAAUUCCAGUGAGUCAUCGAAUCUUUGAACACACAUUGCGCCCUUUGGUAUUCCGAAGGGCAUGCCUGUUCGAGCGUCAUUAUCACCCCUCAAGCCCUCGGCUUGGUGUUGGACGGUUUGGUGGAGGCCCCCUCGGGGGCUCCUGCCCCUCCCAAAGACAAUGACGGCGGCCUCGUUGGACCCCCGGUACACUGAGUUCUUCACGGGACACGUAUCGGACACAUGGGUUUACGGGACACGGUCUGCCUCCCCUCAGGGAGAAUCUUUCUAAGGUUGACCUCGGAUCAGGUAGGGAUACCCGCUGAACUUAAGCAUAUCAAUAAGCGGAGGA
This 373-nucleotide unclassified non-coding RNA is filed under the name soil metagenome. RNAcentral's name for it is "partial contains 5.8S ribosomal RNA, internal transcribed spacer 2, and large subunit ribosomal RNA". The stretch from base 1 to 121 matches the Rfam family "5.8S ribosomal RNA", at positions 35 to 154 of the family's 154-position model. The record is from RNAcentral.